This 494-nucleotide ribosomal RNA is filed under the name uncultured bacterium. Its description in RNAcentral is "partial 16S ribosomal RNA". It matches the Rfam family "Bacterial small subunit ribosomal RNA", at positions 28 to 507 of the family's 1533-position model. The record is from RNAcentral.
GACGAACGCUGGCGGCGCGCUUAACACAUGCAAGUCGAACGGAAAGGCCUGCUUUCCCUUGUGGAUUGCGGGUACUCGAGUGGCGAACGGGUGAGUAACACGUGAGUGAUCUGCCCCCAACUUGGGUAUAAGCCUGGGAAACUGGGUCUAAUUCCCGAUAGGACUGCAGGGUGGUGCCUGUGGUGGAAAACGAUUUUCUAGUGGUUGGGGAUGAGCUCGCGGCCUAUCAGCUUGUUGGUGGGGUAAUGGCCUACCAAGGCGGCGACGGGUAGCCGGCCUGGGAGGGUGGACGGCCACAUUGGGACUGAGAUACGGCCCAGACUCCUACGGGAGGCAGCAGUGGGGACUAUUGCACAAUGGGCGGAAGCCUGAUGCAGCGACGCCGCGUGGGGGAUGACGGCCUUCGGGUUGUAAACUCCUUUCGACCGCGAGGAAGCCACCUGGUUGGAAGGGUGGUGACGGUAGUGGUAGAAGAAGCACCGGCUAACUACGUG